UACGGAGGGUGCGAGCGUUGUCCGGAAUCACUGGGCGUAAAGGGCGUGUAGGCGGUCCGCUAAGUCUGAUGUGAAAGCCCGGGGCUCACCCCCGGAAGUGCAUUGGAAACUGGCGGACUCGAGUCCCGGAGAGGAGAGUGGAAUUCCUGGUGUAGCGGUGAAAUGCGUAGAUAUCAGGAGGAACACCGGUGGCGAAGGCGGCUCUCUGGACGGUGACUGACGCUGAGACGCGAAAGCGUGGGGAGCAAACAGG
Molecule: ribosomal RNA, 253 nt
Filed under: uncultured bacterium
Lineage: Bacteria
Description: partial 16S ribosomal RNA
Rfam family: Bacterial small subunit ribosomal RNA
Source: RNAcentral